CAGCCGCCGCGGUAAUACGGAGGGUGCAAGCGUUAAUCGGAAUUACUGGGCGUAAAGCGCACGCAGGCGGUUUGUUAAGUCAGAUGUGAAAUCCCCGAGCUUAACUUGGGAACUGCAUUUGAAACUGUCAAGCUAGAGUCUUGUAGAGGGGGGUAGAAUUCCAGGUGUAGCGGUGAAAUGCGUAGAGAUCUGGAGGUAUACCGGUGGCGAAGGCGGCCCCCUGGACAAAGACUGACGCUCAGGUGCGAAAGCGUGGGGAGCAAACAGGAUUAGAUACCCGUGUAGUCUCUGUCUCUUAUAC
Molecule: ribosomal RNA, 301 nt
Filed under: uncultured bacterium
Lineage: Bacteria
Description: partial 16S ribosomal RNA
Rfam family: Bacterial small subunit ribosomal RNA
Source: RNAcentral